GUAUCAUGACUGUCAGCUUAACGAAGAAGGCUGACCACCUGCCUCAACGUUGCCUUCAAGAAACGUGGGUUCUGCGAACAUUAUGACUCACUCCUUUGCAUACAGCAUAUUCACGUGAUUGGCAGUAACACGGUUAUGUUCAAGCUGUUCUAGACCACACUUUGCAUGAAUCUUAGUCAAAGAGCAACACACUUUGCCAGGUUGUGGCGUUCAAGGAUCCCGCUAUAACAUCUGACGUUUCGUACUUCCGCACGCCACCUUGAACGCAGCGUGAUUCUGCGAUGGCGGCUGCUCCACCUGGUCGGGCUGCUGGCUCCAGCGGGCAGCUCUUUCCCUGGGUUUUUCCACAAGGAAAAGUUACCUUGGAAAGCGAGAGUUCCAGAGUCUAAAGACCUGUGGCACCUCGUCUACUAAAACCUGGAGGCCUUUUAGUUAUGCAUUCUUGUUAAACCUUCAUUCAGAGACAACCCCAAGCUGAAGAGUUUGAACUCUAAACAUGUCCAAGGAUACGGACCAUGAAGAGUUCUUCGGACUACUACAAAUUGUCUAUCCGAAGAUGCAGAAGCUGACCGGAGGAUGGCUUAUGUACAAGGCUACAGGUGGAGAAAGCUUGCAUGGAUUCCGAGAUGGCAGCAGAGGAUUUUGAGGAGCAGAAGACCAUGGGAUGGCUGAGUCAACUGCCUGGACAAUGGAGAAGAGCAGAUCAAAAGGAGCAGAAGACCAUGGGAUGGCUGAGUCAACUGCCAUGAGCCUGGACAAUGGAGAAGAGCAG
Cyclopterus lumpus (lumpfish) is the source of this 772-nucleotide long non-coding RNA. RefSeq lists it as uncharacterized. The record is from RefSeq and is a predicted model, not a curated record. Lineage: Eukaryota; Metazoa; Chordata; Actinopteri; Perciformes; Cyclopteridae. The transcript is spliced from 5 exons.